Molecule: non-coding RNA, 87 nt
Filed under: Sporomusa malonica
Lineage: Bacteria; Bacillati; Bacillota; Negativicutes; Selenomonadales; Sporomusaceae
Description: c-di-GMP sequence
Rfam family: c-di-GMP-I riboswitch aptamer
About the family: GEMM was predicted in a large-scale screen for bacterial structured RNA regulatory elements. Genes associated with GEMM are involved in a diverse array of functions, including chemotaxis regulation, signal transduction, secretion and chitin.
Source: Rfam by way of RNAcentral
AAGAAUAUUGGGCAAACUUACCGAAAGGUAAGGACGCAAAGCUAUGGGUCUAAGGACAGAAUUGUCUACGACUGCCAGGUUGCCGCU